This 206-nucleotide ribosomal RNA is filed under the name uncultured bacterium. Its description in RNAcentral is "partial 16S ribosomal RNA". It matches the Rfam family "Bacterial small subunit ribosomal RNA", at positions 568 to 774 of the family's 1533-position model. The record is from RNAcentral.
UGUGUAGGUGGCGCGCUAAGUCGGGUGUGAAAUUUCGGAGCUUAACUCCGAAACUGCAUUCGAUACUGGCGUGCUUGAGGACUGGAGAGGAGACUGGAAUUUACGGUGUAGCAGUGAAAUGCGUAGAUAUCGUAAGGAAGACCAGUGGCGAAGGCGGGUCUCUGGACAGUUCCUGACACUGAGACACGAAGGCGGGGGAGCAAACG